This 508-nucleotide ribosomal RNA is filed under the name uncultured bacterium. Its description in RNAcentral is "partial 16S ribosomal RNA". It matches the Rfam family "Bacterial small subunit ribosomal RNA", at positions 28 to 523 of the family's 1533-position model. The record is from RNAcentral.
GAUGAACGCUAGCUACAGGCUUAACACAUGCAAGUCGAGGGGAAACGAUAGAGAAAGCUUGCUUUUUCUAGGCGUCGACCGGCGCACGGGUGAGUAACGCGUAUCCAACCUGCCCAUCACUUGGGGAUAACCUUGCGAAAGUAAGACUAAUACCCAAUGACGUCUCUAGAAGACAUCUGAAAGGGAUUAAAGAUUUAUCGGUGAUGGAUGGGGAUGCGUCUGAUUAGCUUGUUGGCGGGGUAACGGCCCACCAAGGCGACGAUCAGUAGGGGUUCUGAGAGGAAGGUCCCCCACAUUGGAACUGAGACACGGUCCAAACUCCUACGGGAGGCAGCAGUGAGGAAUAUUGGUCAAUGGACGAGAGUCUGAACCAGCCAAGUAGCGUGCAGGAUGACGGCCCUAUGGGUUGUAAACUGCUUUUAUAAGGGAAUAAAGUGAGAGUCGUGACUCUUUUUGCAUGUACCUUAUGAAUAAGGACCGGCUAAUUCCGUGCCAGCAGCCGCCGUAA